RNAcentral lists this ribosomal RNA (392 nucleotides) under uncultured bacterium. Its description in RNAcentral is "partial 16S ribosomal RNA". It matches the Rfam family "Bacterial small subunit ribosomal RNA", at positions 523 to 918 of the family's 1533-position model. The record is from RNAcentral.
ACACGUAGGGGGCGAGCGUUGUUCGGAAUCAUUGGGCGUAAAGGGCGCGCAGGCGGCGAGGCAAGUCCGGUGUGAAAGUGCUCGGCUCAACCGAGUGAUGCGCUGGAAACUGCCCUGCUUGAGUACAGGAGGGGACGUCGGAAUUCCAGGUGUAGGGGUGAAAUCUGUAGAUAUCUGGAAGAACACCGGUGGCGAAGGCGGACGGCUGGCAAUGUACUGACGCUGAGGAGCGAAGGUGCGGGGAGCGAACAGGUUUAGAUACCCUGGUAGUCCGCACAGUAAUCGAUGUGCGCCAGGUGGCGGGGGGUAGCCCUCGGUACCGAAGCCAACGCAUUAAGUGCACCGCCUGGGGAGUAUGCUCGCAAGGGUGAAACUCAAAUGAAUUGACGGGG